UCUGGGUUGGAAGGUAUACUGAGGGCUUGA
Molecule: non-coding RNA, 30 nt
Filed under: Homo sapiens (human)
Lineage: Eukaryota; Metazoa; Chordata; Mammalia; Primates; Hominidae
Source: RNAcentral